This 445-nucleotide ribosomal RNA is filed under the name uncultured bacterium. Its description in RNAcentral is "partial 16S ribosomal RNA". It matches the Rfam family "Bacterial small subunit ribosomal RNA", at positions 354 to 796 of the family's 1533-position model. The record is from RNAcentral.
GUGAGGAAUAUUGCGCAAUGGAGGCAACUCUGACGCAGCCAUGCCGCGUGCAGGAAGAAGGCGCUACGCGUUGUAAACUGCUUUUAACCGGGAAGAAACCCCAGGACGUGUCCUGGGUUGACGGUACCGGAGGAAUAAGCACCGGCUAACUUCGUGCCAGCAGCCGCGGUAAUACGAAGGGUGCAAGCGUUAUCCGGAUUCAUUGGGUUUAAAGGGUGCGUAGGCGGAGCGGUAAGUCAGUGGUGAAAUCCUGCAGCUUAACUGUAGACUUGCCAUUGAUACUGGCGCUCUUGAGUGCGCUUGAAGUGGGCGGAAUGUGCCGUGUAGCGGUGAAAUGCUUAGAUAUUACAUGGAAUACCAAUUGCGAAGGCAGGUUACUACUUGUGGAUUGACGCUGAUGGACGAAAGCGUGGGGAGCGAACAGGAUUAGAUACCCUAGUAGUCC